Molecule: small nuclear RNA, 107 nt
Organism: Ailuropoda melanoleuca (giant panda)
Lineage: Eukaryota; Metazoa; Chordata; Mammalia; Carnivora; Ursidae
Source: Ensembl
AUGCUCACUUUGGCAGCACAUAUACUAAAAUUGGAAUGAAACAGAGAAGAUUAGCAUGGCCCCUACACAGGGAUGACAUGCAAUUCCACAAAAGAUUAUAUGUUUCU